This is a non-coding RNA of Saimiri boliviensis boliviensis (Bolivian squirrel monkey), 3354 nucleotides long. Lineage: Eukaryota; Metazoa; Chordata; Mammalia; Primates; Cebidae. The record is from RefSeq and is a predicted model, not a curated record.
UUAUUUAUUUUUAUGGGAUUUUCCUGCACCCUUUGAAGAGCAGGGUUCAUUAUCCCCAUUUUACAGAUGGGCAAACAGAGGCCUGGAGAAACAUAGGGAUUCAGCCAAGGCAGCUGGGGCCUGAGUUGGGAUACCCAGGUACCCAGGCUGUCAGUCCAGAGUGAUCCAAAGAGAGGUCUCGGUGAUCCUGUGGAUUACUAGACCCACUCACAAACAAGAAGCAUGGAAGGUCAGGGUGGGUGGGAGGGAAAACAGGUGAGACCAUGAAUAGAGAAAGCAGUAAGGGGGUGGCUUUAUUAAACUGAAGGGCAGACUUGGGAUGUAAUUGGGUUCUGGAUGUGGGCUAAUGUUAGAGCUGGGGUAAAGUUUGGGGUUAGUUGAAUUAUGAAUAAGGUUGAGGUCGGAUUUGAGGUUGCGAUUCGAGCUAAGGUUGGGAUUAGGGUUAGAAAUACAGCCAGAAUUGAGGCUAAGGUUUAUGGCUGGGAUUUGUGUUACAACAAGGAAUAAAGUUUUAGUUUCAUUUACAGCUCUGCCUGGGGAUACAGUUAAGGCUAAGUCAAAGGAUGGGUUUAGAUUGAUUUAGGAUUGGGGCGACCAUUGGGUUAGAACUGAGCUUGAGACUCACAUUGAAAUAGGCUACGGUUAGGGUUGGAACAUGAUUUAAAGACAUGUAAGCAGCGGGAGUUGAUGAGAAUUGAAGAUGAGGUUUUAUUUCUGUUAUAGACAGACUUCAGCCUCCAUCUGCUCAAUCCAGGUUUGGCUAGAAUUGUCACCCCUUAGUGUGGGGAGACUACCAGUGGCACAUGUUGACUGGGGUCUCAAGACUUUGAGGAGGAAGCCAAAGGUACACGAGCCCAUCUAAGGGGUAUGAGACCACCAAAUCCCGUAGUGCACGGACCUCUGAAGUCCUGCUCCACUACCAAGCUCACCAGCUGGCCAAGCUCCAGGAAAAGCAUUUAGGGAGGAGAUGCAGGAAGCUACUGACGAUGAAUGGGGCUCUGACACCAAACCGAACUAGAACAUGGGGUCCAUCAGAGGGAGUCUUACUGGGUGGGGAGGAGGGGUGGUCUGCGUUUGGAGUCCUUAGGAGACGGGAUUUAGGACAAACUAAGGGCCUACAUGCUCCUAGAACAGCCGCUUUAUGGUCCACCACAUGGGGGUCCUUCAAAGCCUGGAAGGGCAGAGUGCCAUGUUGCUCCCCUUGGCCUUCUGAGGCUUAAUUGCUACCUCCUUGCUAUUUGAAUCCUGUAAAAGAAGCUGUCAGCCUUCCAGCCCUGUGCCCUGAGCCCUGCAGGGAUUUCAGGGCGGUGGGGAGGCUGCGGAGGGAGUGAAGGCACUGGGGUGUCAGCACAGUUUCCAUAGCAUAUGUCGCGAUCCCACGGUCCCCUCUCUCCGGGAGCAGCCAGGGUCUGUGAUUCUCUCUGGGCCUUAUCCUCAGCAGUGGAAGAGGGCCCCGCUCCUAAGAAGACCCCAUCCCAACUCCUCCCUCUCAUUUUUCCCGACCCGGUCUCCACCCCAAACACCUCACUUCCCCACCCACUUCCUUUUCAGGUUUUAUAAAGGUCUGGAUCUAGGAGACUACUGGGGUUCCCUCUGUGGCCCCAGAGAGAGAGAGAAGAAAGAGACUGGGAGAGACAGUGAUGCGUUAUAGGGCAGAGACAGAGACUGGGACAGAGACAGAAACACACGUGGUCUAAAUGGCCCCUCCAGAGGCUCAGAGGGAGACAGAGGAGGCAGAGGGCCCAGGCCGUGAGCUGAGUCUCAACACCAAUUUCCAAAAGGGCCCCUUGCUUUUUCCUGAGAAAUCCGUGACUCUCCAGGGAAGAACGGCCCUGGUUUGGGUGGUAUUAGCUUCUAUUCUAAGACAAUCACAGAAAAUCAGAGACAGGCCUAGAAAGGGGUAAACAGGGAGAUACAGGAGGUAGAAAGAGGCUGGACAGAAACCCAGGGAAGUCCAGAGACUGCUUCCAAGAUGAGUGCAGCCCAGCCCCAGAACAUUUUCGGGAAGGGCAGGCAGAGGGCUUGGCCUGCCUACUCUUCCUCCAAAGUCCCUUUCACGGCAACGCCACCCAACUCCCCUAAGCCCUGCCCUCCUCUGCCUGGACCUGCCCACCCCAACCCCUCUCCAGGCCGCCAGACUCCCUGGGCUCAGGCUUAGUCAAGCUCCCCAAUCCCUAGCUUGGCUGGCACUGCAACUUGACUCUCUAGGCUCCUCCCCACGCAGUCAGCAAGCUCCUCAGCCCCCUCUCCCAAGUCCCCACGCAGCCCAGGGCUCGCCCUGCAGCACCCAGGGAGGAGCUGUCCUGCAGAGGAAACCUCUGAGGCAAGACCCUGGGAGCAGCAGCCGUGAGAGACUAUGGAUAGGCAGAGAGUCGCAGAGAAGCCAAGGAGCCUUGCAGCUGCUGUCCAUCCACCCGGCUUUCAGUGACGCUUUGGAGGUGGAGGUCUGCCAGAAAAAGCGGGAUUCUAGGAAGAGCCUGGAUAUGCCCACAUCUCCCCCACCAAGCAGUGUCCUGAAGCUGACAGAAGAGCAAGCAGCAGACACACAGUCCCCAUCAAGUAAAGGAGUGGCUGGCGCUGUCACUACAUCCGCAAAGCACAAGAGCAAAGGGAGGCGAUUGAACGCCACCCACUGAACUGUUAGCAAGACAUGAGUGGACGCACGAAGAAAUCGCUUGAAAAGUGUGAUUUCCUGAUGACAGACCUGAGCAGGAAUGAAGAGACUGAAGAUAAAGGUGUCUUCACCUCGCCAAGAUCAGUCACAUCCUGCAGAACCUCCGUUCAUUCAGCAAGCAGCCAGGCUUUAUGCUAGGCCCUGGGGAAAUGGCAAUUAAGGAGACUGGGUCUCUGUUCUUACAGAAAACCCCAUCUGAUGGGGAAAUGGCUCCUGGCCCUCAAUGUGGUGGUAAGCUGCAGUAAUGCAUGGGAGGCCCCUGGCCUAGUGGCAAUGAUGUUUAAGCCGAGAUCUGAAGGAUAAGUAACAAUGGCAUGCCAGAGAAAGGAGAAGGGGGUGGAGCCAAGUGGCCAGGGGAAUAUUUCUGGGCUCGGUAAGUAAGCCAGGUCCCUGCCAGAUGGGGAAUGAGAAGAGCAAAGCCAGGAGUGACCGCUGAUGAUUAUUUUUUAACUGAGGAAGGAAGAUCCUUGAGAACCCAACCUCUUGGGACCUUCUACCCAGAACACCAGAGCACCUCACAGGGAUCAGAGCCAGGCCCUUGAGUGGAUUAAGUAACCAAAAUUGAUUGUCCUGAACCAUGUGUCUGUCUGUUUACGGAGAGAGAAACUGUGAUGAAUUAAUCCACAGGUCCAAUGGGACUUUGACUUAAUUUGUAGAAAUAAAAUUGGCUUUUGAUUUUG